This 468-nucleotide ribosomal RNA is filed under the name uncultured bacterium. RNAcentral's name for it is "partial 16S ribosomal RNA". It matches the Rfam family "Bacterial small subunit ribosomal RNA", at positions 28 to 507 of the family's 1533-position model. The record is from RNAcentral.
GACGAACGCUGGCGGCGUGCUUAACACAUGCAAGUCGAACGGAAAGGCCCUGCUUUUGUGGUGUGCUCGAGUGGCGAACGGGUGAGUAACACGUGAGUAACCUGCCCUUGACUUUGGGAUAACUUCAGGAAACUGGGGCUAAUACCGGAUAGGAGCUCCUGCUGCAUGGUGGGGGUUGGAAAGUUUCGGCGGUUGGGGAUGGACUCGCGGCUUAUCAGCUUGUUGGUGGGGUAGUGGCUUACCAAGGCUUUGACGGGUAGCCGGCCUGAGAGGGUGACCGGCCACAUUGGGACUGAGAUAGGGCCCAGACUCCUACGGGAGGCAGCAGGGGGGAAUAUUGCACAGUGGGCGGAAGCCUGAGACAGCAACGCCGCGUGCGGGAUAACGGCUUUCGGGUUGAAAACCGUUUUCGCCUGUGACGAAGCGGGAGUGACGGUAAUGGGUAAAGAAGCACCGGCUAACUACGUG